UGUUAUGUUGAGGGAGCUACGUGCCCUCCUUGUUGUACCACGGCAGCACUCCCAAAUACAGCAGACGUGUGUGAGCAUGUAAACAACAGAAAAAGCAAGCAUUUCCUGAGGUCCAACUGUGAACGAGAGGGAAACAACUUCUGUCAAGUUAUUAAUGUUGAGAAACUCCGGUUGGUUUUUUUUGUGACCAGAUAGAAUCAAAAAUGGCGAGCCCAGACCGUGACCCUGUGGCUGGUUGGAGAAAUGGUGUUGGCCAGACUGUAGCAACUGCCCACAGAGGACAUCUGAUUUAAAGUGAUACCCAUUUUCAUUGGGUUACAGAUAAGACACACACUAAUUAUCCUAACCGGGUAGUAGUGAUAGUAGUGACAUUAGACAUUUGGAACAGAUACAACACAAAACAACUUUGAACUGAACUCUUGAGCUCUUUAAUCAUAAGGAGUCCCUACGGAUUAAAGUUUCAGUAAACCAAAGAACAUUUCAUUGGAGGUUUUCCACCUCCACAACAGACUAUUUCUGUUUAUUUUUUUGUAUUGUGUAUUAUUGUGUAUGAGUUGAGGCAAUAAAUUGUCACUGUUCAACCGUU
Thunnus maccoyii (southern bluefin tuna) is the source of this 586-nucleotide long non-coding RNA. RefSeq lists it as uncharacterized. NCBI's taxonomy places the organism in Eukaryota, Metazoa, Chordata, Actinopteri, Scombriformes, Scombridae. The record is from RefSeq and is a predicted model, not a curated record. The transcript is spliced from 3 exons.